UAAUCCGCCCUACCGAGUUCAAUGCCAGAUACCUCUGAACCAACUAACAGUGGGUAAGUUUUUCUUUUUCUUUUUCUUUUUCUUUUUGUAGCAAUUUUUACAAUUAUUUGGUUUAAAUGACUUUGUGAGGGUCACCUAUACCGGAGUUGCCUUUUUGCUUUCUUUUAUUUUUUUGUUUGUUUUUCUGGAUCAUUCACUUAUUUGCAUCGGUCCCCUACGUAGAGGAUGCGUAGGCCGGAGCUGACUACUGAGAUAAAC
Molecule: long non-coding RNA, 258 nt
Filed under: Lathyrus oleraceus (garden pea)
Lineage: Eukaryota; Viridiplantae; Streptophyta; Magnoliopsida; Fabales; Fabaceae
Description: Pisum sativum (pea) long non-coding RNA (PSAT_LNC020923)
Source: RNAcentral